RNAcentral lists this transfer RNA (73 nucleotides) under Canis lupus familiaris (dog). It matches the Rfam family "tRNA". Rfam says of the family: Transfer RNA (tRNA) molecules are approximately 80 nucleotides in length. Their secondary structure includes four short double-helical elements and three loops (D, anti-codon, and T loops). Lineage: Eukaryota; Metazoa; Chordata; Mammalia; Carnivora; Canidae. RNAcentral also lists the same sequence under 2 other names. The record is from Rfam by way of RNAcentral.
GCCUGGCUGGCUCAAUCAGUGGAGCGUGUGACUUUUGAUCUUGGGGUUGUGGGUUUGAGCCCCUCGCUGGGCA